CCUACGGGAGGCAGCAGUGAGGAAUAUUGGUCAAUGGGAGGAAUCCUGAACCAGCCAUGCCGCGUGCAGGACGACGGCUCUACGAGUUGUAAACUGCUUUUGUACCGGGGUAAAAUGCUCUACGCGUAGGGUUUUGAAAGUACGGUACGAAUAAGGAUCGGCUAACUCCGUGCCAGCAGCCGCGGUAAUACGGAGGAUCCAAGCGUUAUCCGGAUUUAUUGGGUUUAAAGGGUGCGUAGGCGGUUUGAUAAGUUAGAGGUGAAAUACCGGUGCUCAACACCGGAACUGCCUCUAAUACUGUUGAACUAGAGAGUAGUUGCGGUAGGCGGAAUGUAUGGUGUAGCGGUGAAAUGCUUAGAGAUCAUACAGAACACCGAUUGCGAAGGCAGCUUACCAAACUAUAUCUGACGUUGAGGCACGAAAGCGUGGGUAGCAAACAGGAUUAGAUACCCCUGUAGUC
This 460-nucleotide ribosomal RNA is filed under the name uncultured bacterium. RNAcentral describes it as "partial 16S ribosomal RNA". It matches the Rfam family "Bacterial small subunit ribosomal RNA", at positions 338 to 795 of the family's 1533-position model. The record is from RNAcentral.